AAUAAAAGUAAGUCAAAACGUUGUCGUUAAAAUUAGCAGACGAUGUAAAAGAUAUCCGUUAAAAUGCGAUUUCCUGAAGUCAUCUACCUCGUCAUUUUAACGUGCUCAUAUGUUUCCUUGAAAGAUUUAAGUGUGUCGGAAUUUCUCAGUGAAGAAGAAGCGCGGUUGCAAAAGCUUGGGAAAAGCUGUCCAGUAAAAUCGAAGCUACAACGGAAAAAGAUUGAUUCACUGAGGCUGAUAUCAGAACAUGAUGAUAACAGUGUACAGUGCAUCAUCAAAUUUCUGAAGGACAAUCUGAAAGAUGGCAUACUCUGGUCUGCACUAGGGAAAAUUUAUGAUGCAAAAGGCAAAAAGUUUUCUGCUCAGGCUAAUGUCUGUUUCAGACAAGCAUCAAAAGUUACAGGAAAGUUUCCAAAGUUUAUACAAGAUUGGGAUUAUAUAGGCCCUUUUGUUAUUGGAAAGACAGAGUUUGAUGGUGAUCCAUUAGAAGCAUUUGGAGGAAUAUACAAUGUGUCACAAUUUCGCUUUGAAUCUGGGGUAACUUACCCAUCUGAACUGGCACCACAUGGGAAAGUGGAAUGGGUGUCAGUGAAGCAAAGGGCAGCUGACAAACCUGUGAUAGUGUCACCUAACAUCAACUGGAAUGAACUAGUUAAAGCACUGGGUUCAUUGGGGAUUACUGAAUGGCAAGGGUGGAUUGUUGGAGAGCUUCCUGUCACACAAAAUGACAUGACUGUGCUGGUACAGUGCAAGGGAGUAAGCACCAUCUAUAUCGGUGGCAUUCCCAUCAUAGGUGAUGUCUAUCACAGGGACAUGUUUAAAUCUGCUGUCAGGCUUCAGCGGGGUGUUCACCUGGUAACCGUUCGACUUAGGGCCGUUGUGCAGGCUAACAUCCAGUGCUUAUUCCAUACUCCCCCAAAAGAGGGGUUUGAGAUCCUGCCACCAAACUUUCAACCUGAUCUGUAUGAUGGCUACCUGUUUAGUGUCUACCUGCCCAUCCUAGUGGCUAAUUAUAAACUUGAAAGGUGGUUGCACAUUAGCAAAGUGACUGUUGAAGAUCAGUCUUAUGGACAAGCUAGUCUGGAUGCUAUGCUUUCAAAUAAGUAUGACAUUGCUCCUGGGCAGAUUCAGUUUCUCAUUGUCAAACUGUCAAGUUCUUCCCCUUUAAUCAGCAAGGACUGUGAACCAGUUGGUAUCACUCUUGUUUUAAAAACAUCAGAAGGCCAGGGAAGGCUGCCUUUGACACUUAGAUGUCGGAAAAAGGGAGAAUCAUUUUUAUUUACAUUCUUAGACCAUGAUGGGUCUGUGCAGCAUGCUGCGGCUAUUGAACCAUUGGGCACCUGUUCAAAGAUCUUAUGUCCUGUCCUGCUGACGCUUCAUGGCACCACCGUUCCACCUCAGAACCAGGCAGACAGCUACAAAAGAAUGGUCAGAGACAAGUUCUUGUUUGGUGUGGAAGGAAUGUGGCUGUUGGCUCCCACAAGGCAUGGGGCACAUAACUGGGAGGGACCAGGUGCUUUGACUGCCAUGACAUCCUUGGAAUCUCUUUCUGCCUUGACCCAUGAACAUGAGUGGCUGGAAAAAAAAGCAAACACACACCAUAUCUUAUUUGAAGGCCAUUCUAUGGGAGGUCAUGGUGCUUGGCACCUUGUCACUCAUUAUCCUGACAGGGCCAUUGGGCUAGCAGUAUUGGCUGGCUGGAUAAAAAAGGAGGAGUAUGGAGAUAGCAAUCUGUUCUUCAGACAUGACAUAUCCACCAGUCACACAGAUCCUGCUGUUAAAUUCAUAAUGGAGGCCUGUAUUGGAGAGAAUGAUGCUGACAAACAUAUUAAAAAUCUUCAGGGCAUUCCAAUACUGUGUCGCGUUGGUUCUCAAGACAGAACUGUCCACCCAUUCUUUUCUCGAAGAAUGAUACGGCUUCUGCAAGAGCAAGGCAGUCAUGUUGUGUACUCAGAGCUGGAGGGACGAGAACACUGGUGGUGGGACACUUGGGAAACGAAUGAUGGUGGUGUGGUAAACGAUGGAGAGAUGCGAGCUUUUGCCAGCCAGUGUUUGUCAUCAUUAACACUGAAUGCAGGAGAUACGUGCAAUGCAGAUUCAUGUGGGAUGGAUGUUGAACCUGAAGAAAAACACUGGCAAGGGUCAAAUGAGAACCAUCAAGAGGUUGCAGAACUUGUGACAGUGAAUCCUGCUCUGGGUGAAGGUUUGCGGGGAGUGAGAAUACUACAGCAGAUAGUUCCAUUCAGAACCAGCAGAGUGAAGAUUGUUAUCACAAGGAGAAAGGUCCAUCUUUGGACAGCUAAUGUGAAGAGACUGACUAUAAAGGAACCGCCCAACAGACCAGUUGGCUGGGUUCAAAGAUUGAUCAUGACGAACCUAUACCACAGGAUAAUCUGCUGCAAGUUCUUGCAUCAGAUACUGCUCAUUUUUGUAGAGCUACAGCAGGUCAGUGGAAACUCUGCAUUGAUGAUAUUAGUAGUCUGGGGGAGAGGGGCCCUUUGACACUUGGUCCAGCACGGCGUAUUGCAGAGAGAAAUUUUGUCAUCAUAACAGGGACGCAAGGGAAAAAAGAGAUCACACAGGCUAUUCUUGCAUUUGCUGUUUACAUAGGAAACCUGUUUCUCAUGUUGUCUGAUACCUAUGCACCUGUUGUGAGAGAUGUAGAUGUUUCGGCCUCUCAGCUCC
RNAcentral lists this unclassified non-coding RNA (2685 nucleotides) under Pomacea canaliculata. RNAcentral describes it as "uncharacterized secreted protein ARB_06907-like, transcript variant X5". Lineage: Eukaryota; Metazoa; Mollusca; Gastropoda; Architaenioglossa; Ampullariidae. The record is from RNAcentral.